Transfer RNA from Thalassotalea sp. ND16A, 73 nucleotides. It matches the Rfam family "tRNA". From Rfam's summary of the family: Transfer RNA (tRNA) molecules are approximately 80 nucleotides in length. Their secondary structure includes four short double-helical elements and three loops (D, anti-codon, and T loops). Lineage: Bacteria; Pseudomonadati; Pseudomonadota; Gammaproteobacteria; Alteromonadales; Colwelliaceae. The record is from Rfam.
GCCUCGAUAGCUCAGUCGGUAGAGCAGGGGAUUGAAAAUCCCCGUGUCCCUGGUUCGAUUCCGGGUCGAGGCA